CAUAACAUAACAAAAACUAUUUUCUUAUUUCAAUUUUAGAAUUUUGCUUAACAAGAAACACUUAAAUAAGUUCUCAAUUCUACAAGUUAGAACCUUGAUAGUGGUUUUUCUUUUUUAUCGGCAAUGGUUAAUAUGUAUAUUAGUUGUUAAUAUGUUAGUAUUUUGUUGUGGUGAGACUCCACUUUCAACCUCCUACACCCUAUCAUCAAACCACCCUUAUAACUCCUAUUUUUGUUGAUGGUGGGACUCGAACCCACAACCUCCUACGCUCUAUUCCUUACUAUCGCCCUCUUCACCCUGAUAGUGGUUGUUAUUGAAUUGUUCCUUAUUAUUCUAUGUUUGUUUGAUGAAUAGACAUGGUUAGUUGGAGAAGAUUUGAGUGAAGAGGAACAAAAAAAGGCACCAAAAGGAACAUUAUUUAUUCCAUACUCACAAUUCCCACCAAAGAAAUACCGCAAAGAUUGUUCCUUCCAUUGCACUCCUGCAAUGCUAACUCCAACUUCUCUUGAAAAUGUUCAUUCUUGUGAGGUAAUUUCUACCAUCUUUUCACUUCCAUGCAUGUAUAUAUAGGGUAAAAAACAUUUACACCAUCACCACAUAUUCACUAUGUCAGAGUUACAAUUCAACAACACUCAUUUUUAGGAUUCAACGGCAUUUUCGGGCGCUGAUUACAUAAGUGCAGUAGAAUGUCGGGUAUGAUUCAAUGCCGCGGACAGUAGCUGCAUGGAGCUCUGUUAUAUGUUGUACUUAUAAUAGCGUCCCUCUCUAUAGAGCGUUAUUAUAUGAUACAUAUAACAACACUCCUUUUAGAAAAUAUUGUUGGAUGUAUCACAUAUAACAAUGUUCCACAGAAUGAACGCUGUUGUAUGUAUCAUAUAUAACAUCGCUCUCUAACGUGAGCGUUGUUGAAUGUUAUACAUACAAUAACACUUCCUACAAGGAGCAUCGUUGUAUGUAUUACAUACAACAGCGUUUCUCAGAGCUUCUCCUAACAAACACCAUUAAUUAUUGUACACAUUAAUACAUGCAUAUAUAUACAUUUAUUAACAGCACAACGAAUAUAUAUUAUAUAGUUGUCUAAUUCGUCAUAGUAAAUUAGUGUACAAAUAUUUACACUAUCAACGCAUAAUCGAUAUAUUUUGUAGUUCGAUUUGAAAGAUGUUGUUAUAUACAAUGCAGGGUUGGUUGCCAAGGAGGGUAAUGAGUGCAUGGCGCAUAGCUGGGAUAGUGCACUCUUUAGAAGGAUGGAAUGAAAAUGAGUGUGGCUACAAAAUGCAUAACAUUGACAAAGUUUGGAAUACAACUAUUCAACAUGGGUUUAUACCUAUCCCUAUUCCUGUCCCAUCUUAUCCAAAGAAUUAGGUCAUUAUUAAUGAAUGAAUAUAUGGGAAAAAUCAAACAUGUAUGCUUCUUAUAAUAUCCUAGUUAUGAUUAUCAUUUCCUAAAAUAAGUCUUUAUAUAUGUACUACAUGCAUGAUAAUGCAUGCACAACAACAUUAAUACCCUAUAGUUUGUUUAAGUUGUCUUUAUCAUUUUGUUAUAUAUAGUAGUUUGUUCUUAAAUAAAAAUAAUGCAAAUGAAUAGUAAAUUAUGCAUUAACUGUCUUAUGAAUUUUUACACUAUUAGUAUAUGAAUAUUUCACUCUUCAAUAUAAAAAUUUCUUUUCUAAUCCAUAUGUGAAACAAAAUAACUUAUUGUGUUACAAUUUUUAUAUCCACCUAUAAAUUAAUUUUUUUUUAAUAAAUAAUAUGUUAUGAAUAAUUAUUUUCAUUUUUACAUUUUAUUUUUUGGAAAUAAAAUAUUAUGAAUAAUAUGUCAAUUAGUGUUGAAUUGGAAAAAACAUUCUUUAAACACAGUCUAGAAUCAAUGGUUGCUUGUAUAAAAGGGAUAGCGUAUUUCAUGAGACUCCUAUCUAGUUGAGUCCGCCGAGAAUAAAUAUACACAGCUUUAUCGUUCACACCCCUAGUCAAAAUUUCAUCAUUGUUUAUGUCAUAUGUUUGUAGAUAAUGAACCUUAUAUUUUUACAAGUUCUAGUUAAUCCAAUAUGUCCAAAUACUCCAAACCAUCAAAUCUAAGGGACAAACUGCAACACUUCAAUCUCUAAUUGAAAAUUUGAUAACUACAGGAAAAAUUCAUCGUUACAGUUUAGUAAGAAACUCAGGUUUGAAAAGGAAAACAAAAUCGAGAAGUGGAUGAACUCUAAGUCAUAAUCACCGCAAAAGGCGAAUAAGAAAAACGAGAAACAACGGGCAGAAGGAUGAAGCUUGUAAUCACGAUAAAUUGUCCCGAUUUUGGUAUGCUAGAACUGAUCAUUCUAACAUUUCGCUGCCAGCGAUCGUGUAAAAAAUUUGUACAUGAAGUGAAGCUUGAGUGAUACUAUAUCAGCUUCAGGUAUUUUUAUACAAACUGCAGAAAACAAAUAAACAUCAAAACCAGUUAUUCUUAGUCAAUAAACAAUCAUGAUGAUGAGAAAGUGAUAACCAUAUGAGAAGAAAACAUAGAACCCUCAAGGUUCCAACAACCAGGAAAUCUCAGUUCACACAGUAAUUUUACAUCAAUGCUGUUGAGUACGAAACUGUUGCCGAUGAAUGGCCAAUUCUACUUUGGCCAGCCAGUCAAAACAAGCCCGAAAAUGGCUGCAAAAUUACAUGUUUGUGUGCUGUAUUCGUUUCAUAAAUUCUCAGAAUUCUAAAAUACAAUAAUUUUUCUAUUAAUUCCAAAAUCUCAAUAGAGAGGGUGAGUCUCAGCGCAAUAUGAAGGUUUUUGUCUUUGUAACCUAGAUGUCAUGAGUUUAAACCCCGGAAACAAUCUCUUUACUUACGAGAGUAAGACUGCGUACAUUUACCCUUCCCAGACACCAGUAGGUGGAAGCCUCGUGUAGUAAGCUACCAUUUUUUAAUUCCAAAAUCUCAAUAACAUAGACAACUAAAAGGUAUUGAUAACCUAAAUUUGCACCACUCUCCACUGCCACCUCUAUCUCAAUAUCAAUGCCCACAUAUCUAAUGUGGGACUUCACACUUGAAUAAACCCAACACAUUAUAUAAUGAUGUGAUUUACUUUCUGCUCAAAUUUUUUCAGUACUUUCUAGAAUGGCAAAAAGGGCCUAUCAACAGAAUAAUUGAGGAAGCAAUAUUGGAUGCUGAUAGAAAAGGCAUAAAAGUAGUGAGCUUAGGGCUCAUGAAUCAAGAUGAAGAGCUUAACAUGAAUGGAGGAUUAUAUGUUAGUAAGAAUCCAAAGCUCAAAGUUAAGGUUGUUGAUGGAAGCACUCUUGCAGUUGCUAUUGUUCUUAACACCAUUCCUAAAGGAAAAACUCAAGUAUUACUUAGGGGCAAACUCACCAAGGUUGCUUAUGCUAUUGCCUACACCUUGUGCCAGCAAGGUGUUCAGGUACGCUUAUUAAUGUUUUAAAUUGUAGUUGCAGUCAAAUAAUCUUAUAAAAUACAAUGCAAUCACAACAUUGUUCAGCAAAGUAGGAAAAUCAUAAUAUUAGGACUAGUAUUGUACGAAGGUGAAAACAGGUUAGGUUAGGUCAGGUUUUGCUUCAAAUAGGCCGAACUUAUAUAUCAUAUAGAAGUCUGAACCUGACCUUUAGCUUGUUUAAAAAAAAUUCAUAGUAACUGUUUAAAGGUCCGACAUGUUAACCUAUUUGAAGGUCUACUAUAUUGGUCAUGAAAUAGGUCAUUAUGUCUUAUUUACAUGGGCUAAUAAGCUUACUUUUAGCUAGACCGAUAUAACUCAAAUAAUUAAAUUAUAUUUUUGUAUACAUUUUUAUAAUAAUAUUAUCUAUAUUAAAAUAGUAUAAUAUCAACGUUGUUAUAUAAUAUAACUAAAUAGGUUGAUCUCUUCAGGUUAAUAGGUCUUUUAAAUGGUCUAAAAUAUGACGUGUUAAACUAAAUAUUUUUUUAAAAAAAAUCUGAGUCUUAUUAAUUGUGAUUAUGGAAUUAUGACAAUAUUGCUUGUUAGAUAUCUAGGGAAAAAUGUUUAUUUAAAUCUCUACCUUAAAUUUUGAUCAUGUGACUUUAUUUCAGGUUGCUACAAUGUAUGAAGAUGAUUAUGUGAAGCUCAAUAAGUCAUUCAAUGGCUCAGAAACUAAUUUGAUCAUGACUAAAAGUUUCACUCAGACGGUAACAUAACAUAACAAAAACUAUUUUCUUAUUUCAAUUUUAGAAUUUUGCUUAACAAGAAACACUUAAAUAAGUUCUCAAUUCUACAAGUUAGAACCUUGAUAGUGGUUUUUCUUUUUUAUCGGCAAUGGUUAAUAUGUAUAUUAGUUGUUAAUAUGUUAGUAUUUUGUUGUGGUGAGACUCCACUUUCAACCUCCUACACCCUAUCAUCAAACCACCCUUAUAACUCCUAUUUUUGUUGAUGGUGGGACUCGAACCCACAACCUCCUACGCUCUAUUCCUUACUAUCGCCCUCUUCACCCUGAUAGUGGUUGUUAUUGAAUUGUUCCUUAUUAUUCUAUGUUUGUUUGAUGAAUAGACAU
This 4486-nucleotide long non-coding RNA is filed under the name Lupinus angustifolius (narrow-leaved blue lupine). RNAcentral's name for it is "long non-coding RNA (LANG_LNC000108)". The record is from RNAcentral. Lineage: Eukaryota; Viridiplantae; Streptophyta; Magnoliopsida; Fabales; Fabaceae.